UUCAUAUUCGUUGUGUUACAAGUUAAAGAAAGGAGCUGGCGAAAGUUAUUCAUGUGAUGAGAAAAUAAACUAAUUCGACGCCCCAUCGGUUCAUUAUUUCCAUUAGUUUGACUGGGGCAACUAUCUCCUCCUGGACUCCAGUGAGCUCUACGCUUGGCAAAACCAGAGUGACUUUUUUAGUUUGUCUCCUUAAAUAGAGAAGAUAAAAUUUUUAUACAAAUUGGAAUACCAUAGAUUAAACUGGCACAUUUGAGCACCUGGAAACCACCAUAUUGUAAGCUGUAUGCCUUUACUGUUAUCACUUUCUGAGCUGCAAAUCAAAUUAAUUCCUAAUUAUGAUGAACAUGACUGCACCGCUUUAAUUAGUCCUUCUAGUCUGUUUUAUUGAUGUGAAUUUCCGAAUUUGGAAGUGAGGACAUAUAUAUUCAUCAGCUAGUACUACAACCAAUUUACUAGUUGAAUUUCUGAUAGACGCUCUCUUCUUUUGAUAUUACUUGAUCUAUACAAUUCUUUAACUCAGGAUUUUCAUGUUAUUAUCUACCGUCCUCUAACCCCAAAAGACUGGAGAUGGAUCCUGGUGUGUGUCAGUGGAACCGAAAGAAAUGCGUGCAGCUUCUCCGCUGAAUAUUUUUGCUCCUCCUUUAGAAAGCUGAUGCACUUGUAGCCAUUCUCUCUUGAAGAUUUUGAAAAUGUCAUUUGCUACAAGAGCAGUAAUUUGAAUGCUGAAAAUGCUUUCUGCCCUUCAAAGAGACAACUAAGAAUCUUUUUCAGCUGUGCUGGAAAGAAGUCGACCAUUGAAGGCAAGCAGAAACUCUCUUGCUAUUCUGGAAAUUAAGUCUUUUCAAAUUUGGUUUCAUCUUUCUCUUCGGCGGAGCUCCUCUGGUACCACACCUUCGUGGUGCUAGCUAUUGAUGACUCAUGACUCUUGUUUUUUCUCUUAACAGAUAACAUUAACUAAUUGGACAGACUAUCUUUGUGAUUUCAUAGAGAUAACCAACAUAUAUUCGCUAUUUUUCAAUUCCCA
Molecule: RNA transcript, 1024 nt
Organism: Populus trichocarpa (black cottonwood)
Lineage: Eukaryota; Viridiplantae; Streptophyta; Magnoliopsida; Malpighiales; Salicaceae
Exons: 2
Source: RefSeq, a predicted model, not a curated record